Molecule: ribosomal RNA, 1201 nt
Filed under: uncultured Chloroflexota bacterium
Lineage: Bacteria; Bacillati; Chloroflexota
Description: bacterial SSU rRNA
Rfam family: Bacterial small subunit ribosomal RNA
Source: RNAcentral
GAUAAACGCUGGCGGCGUGCCUAAUGCAUGCAAGUCGAACGGAGUGGCGAACGGGUGAGGAACACGUGGUCGACCUACCCCGGCGUGGGGGAUACCCUGUGGAAACACAGGCUAAUACCGCGUCGCUGGGAGGGGACUGCGGCCGAUUAGCUAGUUGGUGGGGUAAUGGCUUACCAAGGCGAUGAUCGGUAGCGGGUCUGAAGGAUGAUCCGCCACACGGGGACUGAGACACGGCCCCGACUCCUACGGGAGGCAGCAGCAAGGAAUUUUCCGCAAUGGGGGCAACCCUGACGGAGCAACGCCGCGUGCGGGAUGACGCCUCUUGGGGUGUAAACCGCUUUUGCCGAAGAGGCAGUAUUCGGCGAAUAAGGACCGGCUAACUACGUGCCAGCAGCCGCGGUAAUACGUAGGGUCCGAGCGUUGUCCGGAAUUAUUGGGCGUAAAGCGCGCGCAGGCGGUUCUGUAAGCGCCAUGUGAAAGCCCCGGGCUCAACCCGGGAGGGUCAUGGCGAACUGUAGGACUUGAGACCGGUAGAGGCGGGUGGAAUUCCUGGUGGAGUGGUGAAAUGCGUAGAGAUCAGGAAGAACACCGAUGGCGAAGGCAGCCCGCUGGGCCGGCACUGACGCUGAGGCGCGAAGGCGUGGGGAGCGAACAGGAUUAGAUACCCUGGUAGUCCACGCAGUAAACAUGUCGACUCGGUGUGAGCUCGUGCCAUAGCUAACGCGCAAAGUCGACCGCCUGGGGAGUACGGCCGCAAGGCUAAAACUCAAAGGAAUUGACGGGGGCCCGCACAAGCAGCGGAGCGUGUGGUUUAAUUCGACGCAACGCGCAGAACCUUACCAGGGCUUGACAUGCAGAUGCUGCAUGGCUGUCGUCAGCUCGUGUCGUGAGAUGUUGGGUUAAGUCCCGCAACGAGCGCAACCCUCGUGCCCAGUUGUUUCUGGGCAGACUGCCGCUGUGAAUGCGGAGGAAGGCGGGGAUGACGUCAAGUCAGCAUGGCUCUUACGCCCUGGGCGACACACACGCUACAAUGGCCGGGACAGAGCGUCGCCAACCGCAAGGGGGAGCCAAUCGCACAAACCCGGUCUCAGUUCAGAUUGGGGGCUGCAACUCGCCCCCAUGAAGGCGGAGUUGCUAGUAACCGUGGGUCAGCAUACCGCGGUGAAUGUGUUCCCGGGCCUUGCAAGCACCGCCCGUCAAG